GGAGCGGCGGACGGGUGAGUAACGCGUGGGAACGUGCCCUUUAGUUCAGAAUAGCCACUGGAAACGGUGAGUAAUACUGAAUACGCCCUUCGGGGGAAAGAUUUAUCGCUAAAGGAUCGGCCCGCGUUGGAUUAGCUAGUUGGUGGGGUAAAGGCCUACCAAGGCAACGAUCUAUAGCUGGUCUGAGAGGAUGAUCAGCCACACUGGGACUGAGACACGGCCCAGACUCCUACGGGAGGCAGCAGUGGGGAAUAUUGGACAAUGGGGGCAACCCUGAUCCAGCCAUGCCGCGUGAGUGAAGAAGGCCCUAGGGUUGUAAAGCUCUUUCAGAUGUGAGGAUGAUGACAGUAGCAUCAGAAGAAGCACCGGCUAACUUCGUGCCAGCAGCCGCGGUAAUACGAAGGGUGCUAGCGUUGUUCGGAAUUACUGGGCGUAAAGGGCGUGUAGGCGGAUGAUCAAGCUAGAGGUGAAAGCCCAGGGCCUAACCCUGGAACUGCCUUUAGAACUGAUUGUCUAGAAUCCGUAAGGGGAGUGUGGAAUUCCUAGUGUAGAGGUGAAAUUCGUAGAUAUUAGGAAGAACACCAGUGGCGAAGGCGGCACUCUGGUACGGUAUUGACGCUGAGGCGCGAAAGCGUGGGUAGCGAACAGGAUUAGAUACCCUGGUAGUCCACGCCGUAAACGAUGUCUGCUAGCCGUUUGGACACUUAGUGUCUGGGUGGCGCCGCUAACGCAUUAAGCAG
This 740-nucleotide ribosomal RNA is filed under the name uncultured Alphaproteobacteria bacterium. RNAcentral's name for it is "bacterial SSU rRNA". It matches the Rfam family "Bacterial small subunit ribosomal RNA", at positions 92 to 867 of the family's 1533-position model. Lineage: Bacteria; Pseudomonadati; Pseudomonadota; Alphaproteobacteria. The record is from RNAcentral.